Molecule: non-coding RNA, 72 nt
Organism: Phrynosoma platyrhinos (Desert horned lizard)
Lineage: Eukaryota; Metazoa; Chordata; Lepidosauria; Squamata; Phrynosomatidae
Source: the annotation of a GenBank genome assembly
GACAGUGUGGUGUAAUGGUUUGAGCACUGGACUACAACUCUGGAGUCAAGGGUUUGAAACCCCACUUGGCCA